This 460-nucleotide ribosomal RNA is filed under the name uncultured bacterium. RNAcentral describes it as "partial 16S ribosomal RNA". It matches the Rfam family "Bacterial small subunit ribosomal RNA", at positions 338 to 795 of the family's 1533-position model. The record is from RNAcentral.
CCUACGGGAGGCUGCAGUGAGGAAUAUUGGUCAAUGGGCGCGAGCCUGAACCAGCCAAGUAGCGUGAAGGAUGAAUGCCCUAUGGGUCGUAAACUUCUUUUAUAAAGGCAUAAAGUGAGGCACGUGUGCCUUUUUGUAUGUACUUUAUGAAUAAGGAUCGGCUAACUCCGUGCCAGCAGCCGCGGUAAUACGGAGGAUCCGAGCGUUAUCCGGAUUUAUUGGGUUUAAAGGGUGCGUAGGUGGGUUUUUAAGGCAGUUGUGAAAGUUUGCGGCUCAACCGGAAAAUUGCAAUUGAUACUGGCAGUCUUGAGUAUAGUUGAGGCAGGCGGAAUUCGUGGUGUAGCGGUGAAAUGCUUAGAUAUCACGAAGAACUCCGAUUGCGAAGGCAGCUUACUAAACUGUCACUGACAUUGAUGCUCGAAAGUGUGGGUAUCAAACAGGAUUAGAUACCCGAGUAGUC